GAAAAAUAAAGGAUCAAAAUGCGCUUGGUGUGUGACAUGUGCUAUGUCAUGGUACUUAACUGUGAAAUUAAUCUAUAACCUAAUCUUUCUCUCUUUAAAUUCAGAUGUUUAGCAAGAGAAGAGGAGAAACAGAUCAGGUUCAAUUAAUUACUGUCAUUCUAUGCAUCUUCCAUAAACCAUAAAGAGCGGUCAUUGUGCAGCUCACUGAGUAGUAGAGUAAAACCACAUUCUUCAGAAAUACCACUAGAGUCCUCCCAGGAGUACUACCACCCAUGAAAUCACGAAUGUAUUGCUUGAAGAAUGUACUGUGGAUUGUAUUGGGAGAGGGAAAGAAAAUAUGUAAAGGAAAACAACAACAACAACAAUACAAACAAAAGCAAAAAGUCAGCUAAGAAGCUAGAAAAUUUCCAUUUAAAAACACAAAAACACAUCUGGUCUCCUGGACCUUGGUUCAGGAAAAAUUUACUGAGGGCAUCCAGGAGCCAUAAAAAGAUAUCUGUGCCAGGCAGCGAUGCGUGGGACCUUAGAGACUGA
RNAcentral lists this long non-coding RNA (534 nucleotides) under Anas platyrhynchos platyrhynchos (common mallard). Its description in RNAcentral is "lncRNA (ENSAPLG00000028981.1)". Lineage: Eukaryota; Metazoa; Chordata; Aves; Anseriformes; Anatidae. The record is from RNAcentral.